Molecule: ribosomal RNA, 492 nt
Filed under: uncultured bacterium
Lineage: Bacteria
Description: partial 16S ribosomal RNA
Rfam family: Bacterial small subunit ribosomal RNA
Source: RNAcentral
AGUGAACGCUGGCGGUAGGCCUAACACAUGCAAGUCGAACGGCAGCACAGUAAGAGCUUGCUCUUACGGGUGGCGAGUGGCGGACGGGUGAGGAAUACAUCGGAAUCUACUUUUUCGUGGGGGAUAACGUAGGGAAACUUACGCUAAUACCGCAUACGACCUACGGGUGAAAGCAGGGGAUCUUCGGACCUUGCGCGAUUGAAUGAGCCGAUGUCGGAUUAGCUAGUUGGCGGGGUAAAGGCCCACCAAGGCGACGAUCCGUAGCUGGUCUGAGAGGAUGAUCAGCCACACUGGAACUGGGACACGGUCCAGACUCCAACGGGAGGCAGCAGUGGGGAAUAUUGGACAAUGGGCGCAAGCCUGAUCCAGCCAUACCGCGUGGGUGAAGAAGGCCUUCGGGUUGUAAAGCCCUUUUGUUGGGAAAGAAAAGCAGCAGGUUAAUACCCCGCUGUUCUGACGGUACCCAAAGAAUAAGCACGGGCUAACUUCGUG